UUAAGCGACUAAGCGUACACGGUGGAUGCCCUGGCAGUCAGAGGCGAUGAAGGACGUGCUAAUCUGCGAAAAGCGUCGGUAAGGUGAUAUGAACCGUUAUAACCGGCGAUGUCCGAAUGGGGAAACCCAGUGCAAUUCGUUGCACUAUCGUUAACUGAAUACAUAGGUUAACGAGGCGAACCGGGGGAACUGAAACAUCUAAGUACCCCGAGGAAAAGAAAUCAACCGAGAUUCCCCCAGUAGCGGCGAGCGAACGGGGAGCAGCCCAGAGUCUGAAUCAGCUUGUGUGUUAGUGGAACGGUCUGGAAAGUCCGACGGUACAGGGUGAUAGUCCCGUACACCAAAAUGCACAGGUUGUGAACUCGAAGAGUAGGGCGGGACACGUGGUAUCCUGUCUGAAUAUGGGGGGACCAUCCUCCAAGGCUAAAUACUCCUGACUGACCGAUAGUGAACCAGUACCGUGAGGGAAAGGCGAAAAGAACCCCGGCGAGGGGAGUGAAAAAGAACCUGAAACCGUGUACGUACAAGCAGUGGGAGCACCUUCGGGUGUGACUGCGUACCUUUUGUAUAAUGGGUCAGCGACUUAUAUUCUGUAGCAAGGUUAACCGUAUAGGGGAGCCGCAGGGAAACCGAGUCUUAACUGGGCGUUAAGUUGCAGGGUAUAGACCCGAAACCCGGUGAUCUAGCCAUGGGCAGGUUGAAGGUUGGGUAACACUAACUGGAGGACCGAACCGACUAAUGUUGAAAAAUUAGCGGAUGACUUGUGGCUGGGGGUGAAAGGCCAAUCAAACCGGGAGAUAGCUGGUUCUCCCCGAAAGCUAUUUAGGUAGCGCCUCGUGAACUCAUCUUCGGGGGUAGAGCACUGUUUCGGCUAGGGGGUCAUCCCGACUUACCAACCCGAUGCAAACUACGAAUACCGAAGAAUGUUAUCACGGGAGACACACGGCGGGUGCUAACGUCCGUCGUGAAGAGGGAAACAACCCAGACCGCCAGCUAAGGUCCCAAAGUCAUGGUUAAGUGGGAAACGAUGUGGGAAGGCACAGACAGCCAGGAUGUUGGCUUAGAAGCAGCCAUCAUUUAAAGAAAGCGUAAUAGCUCACUGGUCGAGUCGGCCUGCGCGGAAGAUGUAACGGGGCUAAACCAUGCACCGAAGCUGCGGCAGCGACACUAUGUGUUGUUGGGUAGGGGAGCGUUCUGUAAGCCUGCGAAGGUGUGCUGUGAGGCAUGCUGGAGGUAUCAGAAGUGCGAAUGCUGACAUAAGUAACGAUAAAGCGGGUGAAAAGCCCGCUCGCCGGAAGACCAAGGGUUCCUGUCCAACGUUAAUCGGGGCAGGGUGAGUCGACCCCUAAGGCGAGGCCGAAAGGCGUAGUCGAUGGGAAACAGGUUAAUAUUCCUGUACUUGGUGUUACUGCGAAGGGGGGACGGAGAAGGCUAUGUUAGCCGGGCGACGGUUGUCCCGGUUUAAGCAUGUAGGCUGGUUGUCCAGGCAAAUCCGGAUAAUCAAGGCUGAGGUGUGAUGACGAGGCACUACGGUGCUGAAGUAACAAAUGCCCUGCUUCCAGGAAAAGCCUCUAAGCAUCAGGUAACAUUAAAUCGUACCCCAAACCGACACAGGUGGUCAGGUAGAGAAUACCAAGGCGCUUGAGAGAACUCGGGUGAAGGAACUAGGCAAAAUGGUGCCGUAACUUCGGGAGAAGGCACGCUGGUGUGUAGGUGAAGUCCCUGCGGAUGGAGCUGAGACCAGUCGAAGAUACCAGCUGGCUGCAACUGUUUAUUAAAAACACAGCACUGUGCAAACACGAAAGUGGACGUAUACGGUGUGACGCCUGCCCGGUGCCGGAAGGUUAAUUGAUGGGGUUAUCCGUAAGGAGAAGCUCUUGAUCGAAGCCCCGGUAAACGGCGGCCGUAACUAUAACGGUCCUAAGGUAGCGAAAUUCCUUGUCGGGUAAGUUCCGACCUGCACGAAUGGCGUAAUGAUGGCCAGGCUGUCUCCACCCGAGACUCAGUGAAAUUGAACUCGCUGUGAAGAUGCAGUGUACCCGCGGCAAGACGGAAAGACCCCGUGAACCUUUACUAUAGCUUGACACUGAACAUUGAGCCUUGAUGUGUAGGAUAGGUGGGAGGCUUUGAAGCGUGGACGCCAGUCUGCGUGGAGCCAACCUUGAAAUACCACCCUUUAAUGUUUGAUGUUCUAACGUUGGCCCCUUACCGGGGUUGCGGACAGUGUCUGGUGGGUAGUUUGACUGGGGCGGUCUCCUCCCAAAGCGUAACGGAGGAGCACGAAGGUUAGCUAAUCCUGGUCGGACAUCAGGAGGUUAGUGCAAUGGCAUAAGCUAGCUUGACUGCGAGCGUGACGGCGCGAGCAGGUGCGAAAGCAGGUCAUAGUGAUCCGGUGGUUCUGAAUGGAAGGGCCAUCGCUCAACGGAUAAAAGGUACUCCGGGGAUAACAGGCUGAUACCGCCCAAGAGUUCAUAUCGACGGCGGUGUUUGGCACCUCGAUGUCGGCUCAUCACAUCCUGGGGCUGAAGUAGGUCCCAAGGGUAUGGCUGUUCGCCAUUUAAAGUGGUACGCGAGCUGGGUUUAGAACGUCGUGAGACAGUUCGGUCCCUAUCUGCCGUGGGCGCUGGAGAAUUGAGGGGGGCUGCUCCUAGUACGAGAGGACCGGAGUGGACGCAUCACUGGUGUUCGGGUUGUCAUGCCAAUGGCACUGCCCGGUAGCUAAAUGCGGAAGAGAUAAGUGCUGAAAGCAUCUAAGCACGAAACUUGCCCCGAGAUGAGUUCUCCCUGAGACUUUAAGUCUCCUGAAGGAACGUUGAAGACGAUGACGUUGAUAGGCCGGGUGUGUAAGCGCAGCGAUGCGUUGAGCUAACCGGUACUAAUGAACCGUGAGGCUUAACCUU
RNAcentral lists this ribosomal RNA (2900 nucleotides) under Klebsiella pneumoniae. Its description in RNAcentral is "bacterial LSU rRNA". It matches the Rfam family "Bacterial large subunit ribosomal RNA". Lineage: Bacteria; Pseudomonadati; Pseudomonadota; Gammaproteobacteria; Enterobacterales; Enterobacteriaceae. The record is from RNAcentral.